This 406-nucleotide ribosomal RNA is filed under the name uncultured bacterium. RNAcentral's name for it is "partial 16S ribosomal RNA". It matches the Rfam family "Bacterial small subunit ribosomal RNA", at positions 29 to 526 of the family's 1533-position model. The record is from RNAcentral.
AUUGAACGCUGGCGGCAGGCCUAACACAUGCAAGUCGAACGAGUGGCGGACGGGUGAGUAAUGUCUGGGAAACUGCCUGAUGGAGGGGGAUAACUACGGGAAACGGUAGCUAAUACAGCAUACCAUCGGAUGUGCCAAGAUGGGAUGAGCUAGUCGGUGGGGUAACGGAUCACCUAGGCGCCGAUCCCUAGCUGGUCUGAGAGGAUGACCAGCCACACUGGAACGGAGACACGGUCCAGACUCCUACGGGAGGCUGCAGUGGGGAAUAUUGCACAAGGGGCGCAAGCCUGAUGCAGCCAUGCCGCGUGUAUGAAGAAGGCCUUCGGGUUGUAAAGUACUUUCAGCGGGGAGGCGUUACCCGCAGAAGAAGCACCGGCUAACUCCGUGCCAGCCGCCGCGGUAAUAC